Molecule: ribosomal RNA, 486 nt
Filed under: marine sediment bacterium ISA-1175
Lineage: Bacteria
Description: bacterial SSU rRNA
Rfam family: Bacterial small subunit ribosomal RNA
Source: RNAcentral
UGGCGGCAGGCUUAACACAUGCAAGUCGAGCGGUAACAGAGAGUAGCUUGCUACUUUGCUGACGAGCGGCGGACGGGUGAGUAACGCGUAGAAAUCUGCCUGGUAGUGGGGGAUAGCCCAGAGAAAUUUGGAUUAAUACCGCAUACGCCCUACGGGGGAAAGCAGGGGACCUUCGGGCCUUGCGCUAUCAGAUGAGUCUGCGUCGGAUUAGCUUGUUGGUGAGGUAAUGGCUCACCAAGGCGACGAUCCGUAGCUGGUCUGAGAGGAUGAUCAGCCACACUGGGACUGAGACACGGCCCAGACUCCUACGGGAGGCAGCAGUGGGGAAUAUUGCACAAUGGGCGAAAGCCUGAUGCAGCCAUGGCCGCGUGUGUGAAGAAGGCCUUAGGGUUGUAAAGCACUUUCAGCAGUGAGGAAAGGUUGUAGCUUAAUACGCUAUAGCUGUGACGUUAACUGCAGAAGAAGGACCGGCUAACUCCGUGCCAG